UUUUUUUUUUUUUUUUUUUGGUGUAUAAGUGAGAGGAUUUGAAGGAGAAGGGUUGGAUAGGAUGAUAAGAUGGGAAGGAUUUUUGUGCUUUCAGUUGCACCAUUGUUAUUCAAACUAAUUCCAAAAAAUAUAUAUAUAAGGUACAAGAAACGAAGGAGAGCUACAAAAAAGAAUGAAAAAACAAAAUGUACACCAAGUGACAAAAGAACUUGGGCUAUUCUCUUGAAGUAAAAUUUUUCCAAGAAUUAAAAAAAAAAAAAAAAAAAAACACAAAGGCUACUCGUCACAUGUUGUUUCUUCUUCUAGUCAAACUAGUAGUUAAGUGAAAUAUUAAAGAGAUGAAAUGUGUUCAUAAAUCAAAUAUGCAAUUGUCUAGUAUAAUUGAUGCAAUCGUUCAAUUAGCAUGUUCUAGCUAGAGCAGCAACUUCACUGUAAAAGAAAUGUAUUCACAAUAUAUUGAAAAUAUUGAGUAUCUUCUAGACUCUAUGGCAUCGCAAAGAGUUUUGUACAAAUUCCAUGAAAAUGUAUGAUAUGUUGCCUCCAUUAAUCCCUUUUUUUUUUUUUCCUAAGGGGAGAUUUAAAGCCUUGUAAGGAGUAUCUUCUAGACUCUAUGGCUUCAAAAUAGGAUGUCACGGUCAUCUAACUAAUUCUCCCUUAAUAAUUUUAGAUGUUUAUGUAAGUAAAAGUAAUGAGGAAAAAAAAAGAUUUGUUUGAGGAAACACCAGAAAAAAAAAAAAGUAUAUUUGCUUAACGAAAUAAGACUGACACUGUGAAAUAUCUAAGACAAAGAACAGAUACUUGACAAGAAAAAAAAAAUAAUGAAAAAAGAAAAUAGAUGAGAAACUUUUAGUCCUUGUCUAACCCAACCUGAGAAACAGACGCAGUUGAUGAUGGGCCAUGUCCAAAAUUUCCACGCGAAGCCGAAAUGCUAAAUCCAAGUUCUCUGAAGAUGAACAGAGUUGUUAUUUUUUUGUGCACUUUGCUAUUGGCUUUUAAAUUUUGUCAACGAAUACUUUGAAAAACAAAAUUAAAUUGCUUAAACAAAUGCAUUUUUGCAGGCUUGCACGUCUUGAUCUUGUUUCUGCUUCUCGUUAGAUAGUUUACCUGUCAAGAAUAAAGAGAAACUCCACAUUCCCUGAGCUAGCAUCCAAAUAAGUUGUAUAAUUUUUCCAUUCAAAGGUAAAGGAUAUUUGUUUGGUUGAGAUAGUUUAGGUUAGAUUCCUUAAUCAUAUCUAAUAAUCGUGCAGCAAGCUUGUGCAUUUUGAACCAUACAACAUGAAGUUGGUCCAUUGUAUGCAUGAAAUUUAUUAUCGAAUUUUUCAGCAGUGAAUUUGUUGUACUUUAGGGAAAAAAUUAAAAUAAAAAGUUCCCAAUUAACAAAUACAAUUCAACUUUUUGCAUACAGUUUUUUCCCUUUUUUUUUUUUUUCAAAUGAGAGGUUUUGAAUCGAGGACCACCUAUUUAUAAUUUCUCCCACCUUACUAUCCAAAUCAACCCUUUCCGGAAAACUGACACCUUUCCUUAUGAGUAGAAGGAAAAUAAUACCCAAGAAAAUGCAUUGAAAAUCUCGGAUUUCAUUGAUUAACACACAAGUGUUCUUCAAGAAAUUAUUCGACAUAAUGGAAUAAUGGACCUCAACUAUGUCUGAUAUUAUGAACGUUAUAAACGCUAAAAAAUCCAGAGUCAUCACCACAACUGAGUACAUCUUGCAGAAGCAGUGGUUCAAAUUAACUUGCCAUCUUCUUUUACAUCAACCUGUCAACUUCUCCAUUCUUGUUAUCAGUUGAGUGUCUGCCAGCUAAAAUCAAUAGACAAAAUGACCAGGAUACGUAUGCUGCACGCCUUCUAAUAUGUGGUACUAUUACUUUACUUCCACAGCAUUCAACAGUAUUCAAGAAAUACAUGCGCUUUCUGAUAUGUAUAUCGGAUUUCACGUAAUGAGAAUUUUAAUCAACUUAUUUAUCAUAAUCUCAAGGGUCAUUAUCUUAUGUUUCAAAUUGAAAGAGAGAUUUGUCCGGCAGGUCAUUAGCUACUGCUCGGAUCACCUAACACCCCGACUUCAAUUAUUCCUUACUUGCUGCAAAAAGAGAAAACCAAGUAAGGAGAUGGAGUAGUUAGUUUGAUAUCAAGUAAUCCUUUUUUUUUUUUUUUAAUUCACUUGGGACUUGGCAGACGACGCCAAUUUUAGAUUUGGGGUUAACAAAGAAAUUGAUUAGGACGUCAUUUAAAAAGAAAAAUACGCAUAGCCCCUCUCUCCCUGCAACAAAUAAUGAUAGUAUUUAACUGAAUGAUGAUUAAAAGCUGUUGGAGGUAUUUAUGGUAUGGAACACAAAUCAGUGCGAGGAAACUGGUCCUAGAAAGUUCAUGCAUUAAGGAAGAUCAUGAUGAAGUACAAUGCUUUCUUGCCACAUUCUGAGUCCGAUAUUCAGGCAACUACAGCCGCAACCACAAGGAUAAACAAGAAGAAAGGAAGCACUCUCAACUCUGGAAAAGAGACUGGGGCACCACCAUCUUCCUUGAGGUGGAAAAGUUGUGCUAAAGUAUCAGCACAUCUGAUGGUUGAUGGUUUUAUGCCUUUCUCCAUCAAACUGAAAAUUCUGGCACAUGCAUGUCUUGGCAUUCUCCAUACUAGCGAAUUUGGAUCAGGGCAACUGAACAAGUUGAUCAAUAUAUAUCCACGUGAUGUAUUUACUCCUCAAACAGAGACACUUCAGCAACGUGAGCAUGUCGUAAUAAGCUUGCCACUAGUGAAAACAUGGGUCUAUAUUUGAAAGAUAUGCUGGGCAGUCAACAAUUGCAUCAGAUGAUAUUUUAAUGAGGAUAAAACAUAAAGAUUUACAUACAAAAUUUCCUAAUGUUUGGGCUACCAAUCAUGCAGGAACAACUUAGAUAUGGCCACACAUAGGUGAAAGAAGUCGGGGGAAGAAAUCAAGAUUACCUGUGAGUGACAUCUAUCCGAAAAUGAUAGCCAAUCUAUGGACUAUUUUAAUCGUUUCCAAGCAUGCAUUUGGAUUUUGGUCAUAGUUCAACCAAUAGAACUUUUUCUCGUACGUUAAACAUAUCAAACAAUAUGAUUCUGUGACAUGAUUAAGGCAAUAUAAUAAACCUAGUAAAACCUUAAAAAUAUAUCUUGUUUUCCGUACUGUUUGGGCUGCUCAUGCGUUACCUACUAUUCUUUGGUUAUAAAUACACUUAGACUUCAGCAGAAGGCUUGUGUCUUAGUCUAAGUUAAUAUGACGAUUCUCGGUAUGAGAGCUUUCUUUCUGAUUUGCCUCUUUUCUCUUUUGGGAAUUCAAGCAAGACCUUUGCUAGGUAACUUUCACGUUUCAACUCCUAACUAUGCUUCCUCGUUAUCAGGGAUUUGAAUUUAAAAUCUAUUACUAAGCAGCCUGAAACAACAAUGGCAUACCAUUGUCUCUGUGCUGCUACUUCUUCCACUAUAUAAGUUGGAUUUAGUGAGGCGCAGACUCUAAAAUGUUCAAGUCAGUAUACUUCACACUCAUUCUUGCAGUGGAUUUUCUUAUUCAAUCUUAAUGUUUCAUGAUACUUGAUCUUGUGAUCUGGUGUCUUCACUGAUUUCAGUUCCUUUCAACACUUUCCACAUUUUCCUCUAAUUAAUAUGUGAACGAAUGCAUAACAAAUUUCAUUACUAGUUAUUUCUGCUCUAAUUUGUUAUGAUAUCUUUGGAGGCUUAAAUGCUUACCCUUCUGCCAAGUCAUUCUUUCCUUGUACGAAUUAAUGAUUGUUAUGCCAACUAUUUUCAGGUUCAAUCCAUUUAUCUCAAGAUUUAUUGAUAUAUUGUGCAUGGUACCAUGCAGUUCCUGGAAAGUACUAAUGGAUGGUUUAAAAUCUUUUGAUUUUGCACGUUACUAGCUUGAUUACCUAACGAUUUCCUUGCGCUGCAGAGCAUGGUUACACCUCUAUGGUCGAGUCAAAUGACGGAACUCCUGCUCCUAAGAGUGUAGACAAAGUCCUGUUGAGGAUGAUCAUAACUUACGAGCAAGCACCAGGCUUGCAUCUGGUUCAACCGUCCUUGGCAACCAGCUAUGGAAGGACUCUUUCACCUCCUCCUCCACCAAUGCCAGCAUCACCAACUCACUAUCAUGAAGCAAGCCAUGGAGUCGAGCAAACGCCAGGCUUACAUCUGGUUCAACCGUCCUUGGCAACCAGCUAUGGAAGGACUCUUUCACCUCCUCCUCCACCAAUGCCAGCAUCACCAACUCACUAUCAUGAAGCAAGCCAUGGAGUCGAGCCAACGCCAGGCUUACAUCUGGUUCAACCGUCCUUGGCAACCAGCUAUGGAAGGACUCUUUCACCUCCUCCUCCACCAAUGCCAGCAUCACCAACUCACUAUCAUGAAGCAAGCCAUGGAGUCGAGCAAACGCCAGGCUUACAUCUGGUUCAACCGUCCUUGGCAACCAGCUAUGGAAGGACUCCUUCACCUCCUCCUUCACCAAAGCCAGCAUCACCAACUCACUAUCAUGAAGCAAGACAUGGAGUCUAUGAAUCACCUCCAAAUCCCUUCCUAGCCUCAAGCUAAAGCUUGUUCUGACUGAUCAAAGGUGUGGACGGUGAAUAUGCAUGAAGAUCUUCUAGUCUAAGUUCUAGUAUUACUUGUAGUAGCCGCUUGAAGCAAUAAAGUCUUUUCUGCUGCUUGUGCUUUUCCCUUAUAAAUGUAACUUCCACUAUGUAGUUGGCAAAUAUGAAGUUGGUUUCUGUGGCUCUAAGGAUCCAUGCAUUCAUGAGUCUCAGCUUAGAAUUUUUGGUUAACAUUCGAUUUGCUAUUUUCCUUUUUCACCUUUUAUAUCCUUAUAAGGUCGUUGAAGCUCCAGACACGAUUCGGCUCUAAUGUCUUGAUUCUCGGCACAAUGAUCCGGUUCCAACGUUCUUGAGAGCAAAAGACAUAAACAGAUGUAAACAAAAAAGAGACUGUCUGAGAACACAGACGUUUUCUGGUAAAUCCUUGGGAACGUAAAGGAAUUAUGCGUUUGGAAGAUUUUUUAAAAAUAAGUACUCUAAUACUAUGUGUGAUAUAAUAUAUGUCGUACGCAAGAUUAAAAAAAAUGUUACUAAAAAGGUAGAACGUAAUUCAAAAAAAUAUGUUUGUGACAUAAACAAAAAAGAAAUUUCAAAUAAUAAUGUAUUCAAUCACAUUUUGUACUGCAUGCAUCUUUGAUAAUACGAAAGAAAAUGAAAAUGAAAUUUCGGAAAAACAAAAAGGAAGUAUGAAACUUAACCGAGAAAUACAUUAAUCUUUAGCAUCAUCAGGACAAUAAUUUUUUAACUUUUCUAAGUAACAAGUGAAGUCUUGAUUAAAGAAGAUUCAUUUACGAAAGGAUCGGAGUAGCAAAUUAUAGACCUAUGAUUAAUUGAAGUGAUAAAUUAGCUCCGGGGAGGAAUACGAAUGACCCCACUAGGUGAAGACCUACAUAAGAGCAGGGGGGGAAAAAAGAAAAAAGAAAACUCGUACUAAUAAAAAUGAUAUAAAGCUUGAUUUCCUAUUAAAUGUGCAUCAUCAUAGAGGACCUGUUGAAUAGGAAAAACAUACCGUAUUGAUGCCAAAAGUUUUAUAAUUAGUCAGCAUACACAGAACACUAAUUACCUUGGACUUUUUCUUUUACAUGAAAUAAUCCAAUUGUACUAAAUUUUUGCAGAACUUUCAUGGCUAGGAAGGUAGAGUUAUCUGAAAUAGCUCUAUUUUUAAUUUUAAUGGACAUUUGUAAUCAGACCCUCAAUCCACUUAUUGAUUUGUUCUUUUACACUAAAUCAAACUAUCAUCCUUCUAUUUUUAAUUUUGUUUUUCUUCCAAUCAAAAAAAUUAUUUCCUUUCUUUCUCUCAAGGGAUAAUGGCAGAAACCUCCCUUGAGGUUUUUAAUAAUUUCACUUGGCUCCCCUAAAAUUUCAAAAAUUACACCUACAUCCCUAGCCCAUUUAAAAUGACAAUGCUAACUUUAAUAUUUUUAAUAAAACUCUCUUGCUACCAUGCUUAUGGAAAGGAAGGAUUUUAUAAUUUUUUAACAUUUUUUCUUCUUAUUCAUUUCUCUUUUAUUUUAUUAGAAGUAUAGAAAAACUAUCAAUGUUGUCCCUAAUAUCUAUCCAAAUUAAACAUUAAACUAGUAUUAUUUUUUUUUGAUAACUUUUAAUAUCAUCCAAUUUUUUUGUAACUUUUUUUUUGUUUCAAAAUCAAGGAUAUGUCAACAAUGAUUAAAAACAAAUAACCCAAAAUCACUACUAAAUUAUGAUAGUUUCAUCAACAAACUAGUCCAUAAACUUUUAUUAAAAAAAUAGUCCAUAAACUUUAAAAGAAACAAAUUAUUACUUUUUUCUCUAUCUUAAAAAGAAUUUAUAUUUCUAAUAAAGCACCAUGAAAAAUACCCUAUUCUAACAAAAGAUUUAUUAUAAUAGUUGAUUAUCAAAUAACAAAUAUUGGCAUGAAAAAAUUGACACUCUUUUUGUUUAGAAAAACAAAUUGAAUUUUAUAAGGUAAGGACAUUUUAAGGUAUUCAUUAAAUUUUUUACUUUAUUCUAAAGUUUGAUUACCAAAGUGUCAAGUCAAGCGAGGUAAGUGUACCUUUUAAAACGUGAAGAGAACUAAGUGAAAUAAUCCCUUUUCUCAUUAAAUGAGUCCAAAAAAAAAAACAGAAAUGUUGUCCCUGAAAUGCCAAAACUUAGAUGUUAAAGUGUAAUUUUACUAAAUUUUAUGGUCAAAAUAUAACCUCAAAUUUAUCCAUUUUUAGAUUUUUAUAAAGUUAAUCCUAAAUCUGCACUCGCGUGGUAUAGGUGACCUGCUAAACCCGGCAGAUUUUAGAAAUUCUUUUUUUGAAUUACUUUUUUAUCCAAUUUUUUAAUUUGACUAAUCACACCAACAUCAGCAUUGUCGUCUUCUCUUUGGACCUAAUUGUAAUAAUAUUGAACUUUUUAGGGGCCAAAUGCUAUUUUACCAAAACUUAGAUGUUAAAGUGUAAUUUUACUAAAUUUUAUAGUCAAAAUAUAACCUCAAAUUAAUCCAUUUUUAGAAUUUUUAUAAAAUUAAUCCUAAAUCUGCACUCACAUUGGUAUAGGUGAUCUGCUAAACCCGGCAGAUUUUAGAAAUUCUUUUUUUGAAUUACUUUUUUAUCCAAUUUUUUAAUUUGACUAAUCACACCAACAUCAGCAUUGUUGUCUUUUUUACAAUUAGAUGAAAAAAAAUUGAAAACGAAUUUGAAAAUUAGGGUUUCUUUCUUUCUUUGACACUUAGAUUUAUCAUUUAUGUUUGUAUAUAAUAUCAAUAUGAAUUCAUAAACUAAGGAAUACAUAUGGGUAUGGGUUGUGUGUAUGAACUAUGAACUAUGAAAUAUGAAAUGGAUUAUGGUUUAUUAAUAUUUAAGAAUUUAUGUACUUAUAUUAUAAUUUAUAUGUUUAGUUAUAUUAUAAUUUAUAUGUUUAUUUAAUUAUAUUAUUUUUUAUUACAUAAUGUGAUCCAACGGUCCAGUUGAACCAUUAACCCGCCAACCUGAUGUUGCUGCUGUGUUGAUGCCGGAUUGGUUUUAAUAAUUAUGCUAUCAACAUCCCCAUUCUUGGACCAUCGCAGCGUGUGCAGUAUCACUAGGUUUGUUUGGAUAGAGUAUUAUUUGAAAUAAUUACUGUAACAUUUUUUAUGAUGUGAUGUAUGUGAGAUUAAAAGGUACUCCCUCCCUUUUUUUAUAACUGACGUCUAAGAAAUUUGUUCUAGUGUAUUUUUAUCUGUCGUUUUAUUAUCCCCAUACAGUAUUAAUUAUUUUUUCACAAUUUUACCCUUUUAUCUCUCUUUUUCAAUACAGGGUUCUUAAUUACUACUCCUAGUAAUUAUUGCAUUGCUUUUGGCCUAGUAAAACAGCACCAUUUAGUACUCUAGUGAGAGAAAACAUGGGUGAAUUGGAUAAUUAAUGAGGGUACAAAAGGAAAGUAGUUACAGAUUUAAGCAAUGAAAAAUUUUUCUUAAUUGGUGUGCAAAACCUUAAACGUCAGUUAUAAAAAAAGGGAGGGAGUAAUUAAGAAUAUAAAAAUGUGGGUUGAAAAAUGUGUUUACGAUACAAGUGAAAUAUUAUUUAAAAUAUUUGUACUAUUAUGACGUGGGCUCGUACAUUUCUUUGACUCUUGUUAGGCGGGGAAGUUCACAAUUUUUUAUUCUUUUCUCGAUUAACCCUUUUCAAUCCUUGGCUUAGUAAUUGUCUUUUCCGGGUGCCUCCACGUGAAUGGGCUGGUGGUUGGCGCCUCCUCCUCGGGACCGUUAGGUCCUGGGGUCGAACCUCCGCAGCAACAUCAGGUAUAAAUGGGGGCCGGGUCGGAGUGGGGAUUAGUCGGGCCGCCUUUACGGACUUGACCCGGACACCCCACUCCGUCGACAAAAAAAAAAAAAAAAAAAAAAUUGUCUCUUUCCGGGUACUGAAGAACUGUGAAAAAUUGCUGCCCAGCAAAAUAUCAACACUCCAAAGUCACCGCUUGCCAUUUCAUGAUUUCAACCACCAACAUGUUUCCAACAGCCUGAGAGUCGGAAAUGUAUUGCGGAGAACAAACAAGAAAUACCUGGUCCCUUCUCAGUAAUAUUUCUCCGUCAUAAAUAGUGUAAACAAAUUUCUUCGUAUCGCCGGCGUUAGGGUUUUUCUUAUCGGAACGGCUCAAGAAUUUGCGGUUCGUUAAUUUAAUCUCUCUCGAGUUUAGGGGUUUAAACCCCUCCAAGUCCAAGCCUUUCUUUGCUACCCAAGUUCUUUUUUAUUAUUUAUUUAUUUAUUUGUUUUUCUUGGCGCAUUGAACAUUUCUUGAAAUUUAGGACGGGCGGUUCGCGCACCUGGGACGACGUAGAAGCAUAACCUGCGAGACGGAAUAGGUGUUUAUUCAGUAAAACGCUGCUGGCCUGGCAACUGGCAUGGUGUUUGAAACCUAAUUAGCUGCUGCAAAUUAUCCCUGAAAUUACCCCUUUUCUCAAACAACCAAAUGAGCCCAUAGGCCUCGGGGAGCCGUAACUCAUAAACGUUGUCCUAAGAAAACGAUUUUUCCCUGCUGGAGACUCACUCUCCAUAGCAGGUGCGCGACACGGGUCGGAUUCGGAUUAGUCGGGCAAAGCCCGGAUACCGGGCGGGCAACCAAAAAAAAGAAAACGAUUUCUUCCUUUCACUAGAGGUCUAGAAGCACGCUUUUUAAAGAUGGUAUUGCUCGAAACAGAAACGAAGUACAGUCCCUCUUUCACUCUUUAGCGCUUAUUUCUGGAAAAAACGGACAAAAUGGCGAAGAAGGAGACUGGAGCUUCUGACGUGCGAAUCGACAGCGUAGUAAUAACACCAUGGAAGGCCCUUCUAACGAACGUAACCUGCGGAGUAGGAUUAGGAGUAGCUUUCCAUGCUGCCAAUAAUUUCUACUCCAUCAAUUUGAUUCAAAAUCCGGCAAAAACCCUCCGUCUGAUCUGGGUACUGACCAUAUCUAUCAAUUCCUGUCAACUCCAAGUUGAUUAUUUCUCAUUUUUUAGUUUUCUAAUCUCUCUCUCUCUUUUUCAAUUGUUGGUUUGAUUUUUUGAAGGUUAUUGAGGCUCCAGUCGUGAUUCUGCUGUACAGUCUCUUUCGACAUCGUCCUAAUCAAUGCUCUGUAAUUCCAAUUAAUCCCAUUUCCUCGUCUGAUUAAUUUCUUUUUUUUUGUUGGUUAUUUUUAUAUGUUAAUCUCUUCUUUUUAACUAUUAAACGAGGUUUUGAUAUGUGUAUUGGACAGUACUUGAAAGCCGUAGUACGAGGUUUGUUGGCACUACCUGCUGGUUAGUCGUUCAUUGCUUUUUUGUUUUUAUAUAAUUUAAUUAACUUUUAUCACUCAAACUUCUUGGUUAAGUGGUUGGGAUUUCAAAAGUUGCAAUCUUUAAUUGCUCUGUGCUCUUUAUUUUUGUUUCUUAUUAUUUUUUAAAAAUUUAUGAAGUGAUUUCUUUCUUUGAAGGUUAAUGAUGUACAAGUAAUAGAUAAAGUUGAAGGCUUUGAGAAGUAAUUUUUAGUAAUUUAUAGGUUGAAAAGAGUUACGCUAGCACUGUUUAGCACUUGUACCUGUAAAAAGAUAGGUUAUUUGAAUACAGAACAAGGAUAUUACUUGAGGACUCAUUCUUACACAACUUUCUAUCUUUUGUUUCAAUACUUUGCCUGCACUAGUGGUAUAAUAGCUUUAUAGCUGAAUGUUCGUCUGUCAAUACUUGCUUAACAUUUUUUGUUAUUUUGUUGUCUUUUUCAUUAUAUUGGAUUCUAAGUAUGUUGGUUUUUGCAUGUAAAUACACAGGGGCAGUAGUGAAUGCACUUGGAGCUAUAGCAUUGGGAGCACCCAUGAUUCAGUAUGUAACUUAUCUGGGUUGUUUCCAGUCUAUUUAUUAUGAUUUUGAGAACUACUGAGGUUAAACUUCAGGUUGGACAAAUGGUCUCUGUUCUAUUCUAUCCCAUGGUACAGAACUGCUCGUCGAUGUUAUGGAGUAUAGCAAAUCCUAGACUAUCUUGCACUGAAAUGGGUGAAUAGCAGUAACCAUUACUAUGAUCAAAUAGACAUGUGCAGAAUAAUACAAAUCCUGAGUAGCAAGCAUGAAAAAGAGUUUUUUUUUUUUAAAUUAUAGUUCAGGAGUUAUUUUGACACUUCACAACUAUUUUGUGGAACAAAUUGAGAUAAUUUUCACAGUUUUUAUCGUUAUCUUGGAUCGGAUGUUUUAUUCUGUGGUUAAUUACAGGAACUUCAACAGGACCCUCCACUGGUCUCUUCUGAUGUCAGUGCUUACUGUAAGUGUUUCAUUUGACAUCUCAUUUGCCAUUCUGUAUCUCAUGCUUCAGUAAACUCCUGGAUCAACUGGACUAGCUCCGAAAUUUGUGCUGGAAACCUAGUAACUUGAGGUAAAAUUUGCUUUGUUUUUGUAAGUAAUCAUAGAUAACCAUCAAAUUUUCCUCUGUGCCAUAAGGAUCUUAAUCAGUCAUUUCCUGGUCUGUAAAACUUCUGCUGCUGUUGGCAGUGUGUCCCAGCAGCUUCUGUGUUUGGUUCUUCUUGGGCUGACUGGCACCGGAUAUUUGCUCACACAAAGUAAGCAUAUGAAACUAAUGUGAUUUUAUUUUGCCGACAUCAUUCCCUUUUUGUUUUUCUAGCAUUGAGAAGUAAUACUCGUGUUAUUUGACUUCUGCAAUUGUUCGUAACUUUUUGUUAGGCCAAGUGGACCUAUAGAGUACAUGAUCUGCCUACCUGCUCAUGGAGCUGUCAUUGGAGCAUGGUUUGGCGCUUGGCCAAUGCCACUUGACUGGGAAAGACCAUGGCAGGUAGGCUUACCUUCCUAUCGAAUACCGGUCAUUUGAAACUUAGAUGAUUUUUGCAUUCCUUUUAUCUACAGUUUUGACUCUCUCUCUCUCUCUCUCUUUUUUUCUUCUUCUUCUUUUCUUACUGUGUACAUCAAGAGUUUGUUCAUCAAGAACUUAGUAGUAAGAGUGGCUCAGAAACCAUUGAUACCUUCAGGAGUGCCCUGAGGUCUACCAUCACAUGGCCAAAAAAUCUUCUCUUGUUACAUUCUCCAAAAUAACACAAAAGUAAAGUAUGGAACUUGAUAUGUUAAUGCAGCGUAUGAUAUAGUCAGGGUUCCCUGUUGACAAUUCAAUAAUUGAUGCUUAGCUUUCAUGGUUAGAUUGUUGUGUUGGCUCUGAUAUUCUUGUUGUUCACUUUGCCUUUUCAUAUAAAGAUGCCAUAUUAACAUUGCCUUAGUAUGAAUUUUAGACCCUGCACAUGAAAUUGAGUCUUGAAAAGCACUGGAGAGAUGGUGAGGGUUUACGCAUAGUAGUCCUGAUGUGGUUCUGAUAAUUCCAUGAUGUAGUGAUGUGUUGAUAUAUUGUUCCAAGCAUAAUCUCCUAGGUCAUGUUAGUUGCAAUGGUUUUGGUAAAUGUACUUGACCAUAUAUGUUCGAGCUUGGCAAUUAGAUUCUAACUGUUGGAUAUUGUUCAGCCUUGGUUUGCAGCAUGUGGUUCAGUUGUCAUGCUUUGUACCCUGAGACUGAAAGUAUUUGAAUUUGUUUGUAGGACUGGCCGGUUUGUGUGAGCUAUGGAGCUUUGGCUGGGUACUUUGUCGGGAUGGCGGCAGCUUUUGGUUUUGUCCUCUUCCUAAAUAAACGAAGGCAUGUAAAAGGAGACUAAUGAUGGAGAAUUCGACAUUAAUCUUAUUGGAGGUUGCUAUCGAUGACCCUAUUGAUAGACUGAGUUGCAUCCAGCUGACCAUAGGACCUCACCUGCUGAGCGGAGGUUUUGUAAUUUUUUCCCAGUAACACUACAAAACUCAUCCCUCCCCAGAACUUUUCUUUUUGCCCGGGCAAUGCAAUUUGCAGAAACUUAGAAGUACCUUUGGUUCCCACUGGAAGUUCAUUCUUUACCCUUUCUUUUCUCUUUCUUUUUCCCACUGUAACUCUAUUUCUUCCAUUAUGAUCUGCUACUGUCUUCUAAAGGGAAAAUCCUCGUCUGGUGUAUGCUGAGGUUGUGAACAAGAAGGAUGUUAUUCCUGAGAGAUUAGCAUCCAUGGCACACAUUCCUCAAAUUUUCGCUUUCCAUUGUGAAAAGCUUGAAUUACUGAGUCCUGGUUUUUGCUUACAGGUGAAGAUAUUUCACAGCCAUUGUUUAUGCUUUGUCUUUCAAAUAAACUUUGGGCAGAUGGGACACUUUAUACCUUUUUUUAACCCACCAUGUUUGUACAUUUCCACUUCUCAUUGACUCACCAUGACUUUUGACGAGGAUAAGCAGAGACACAAACCAGGUCACCACUCAUCACCCAUCACUCACUAAUCUUGUAAUAGUGCUGCAAUUAAUGAUGCAAGGACCAGUACGUACCCAAAUCUUAUUUGUCCAUUUUCUAAAUCUACCCAAGAAAAAAGUAUGGUACCAUGCCAACUGAUCUUUUCCUUUUCAUGCUUUACCAUGCUACGAAUGAGGGAUUAGGCAACAAAAUACCAAAAAAAUAAUAAUAAUAAAGAAGGAGAAUUUUGUUUAGCAUUCAAGCUCAUCAAAAGGCAAUUCAAGCCAUUGGCCAACAAGCCUAGCGGUGGCGGGAAAAUUUACCGGACGAUAACGAGCACCCUUUCUUUCCAAGCCUCCGGUUCUGUAACUCCGCGUUCUCGUCACGCCAUGUUAUGCGUACGUGCAUGCUAGACUUCCAUAAAAGCCCUUGGGCAUUCCAUCACAAUGACAAUAUUGCCCCAACAAUGACCAAAUGUCGUGCCAUUAUAGGCUCGUCACUCAUCAAACUGUCACAGCCGGUCAAGCUACCGGCACUGCCACAUCAUCGAGGAGCUCAACCCGCGAUGCCCCAGAUGGCUCCUCUCUUUGUUACACGUGUAACGGAGAAAAUUGCAAAAGUGGGCCCUACAACCGAACCCUUUAAAACUCUCUUAGAGCCCUAAGCGCCAAAAAAAAAAACCCCCACCUUUCCCCCUCCCCUCCCCUAACCCCAGGCCACUCUCAAGUCACAACCCCCAAAAUCUCUCAAAAACCCCUUCACUUUCUCUCUCUAGAAAAAAUCGCUUCUUUGAAAUUUCUCCGAUCAUCUGUUUCCAUCAUCAACUGGUACCUCCACUUCAGCAACUGGUACUUGUUUUUAACAUUUCUAUAUGCAUAUGGGUUUAGUUCUCGAUUUUAAUUUGGAGCUUUUCUUCUUUUUUUUUUUAAAAAAAAAUUCUUAUUUAAGCUUUAUUUUUUUGCCUGUCCUGUAUUUAAUGUGUUCGGUGCCUUUUGUUUUUUCUUUUUUGGUUGUUGGAUGAUGCAAUUUUUAGACUUCUGUAAUUCUUUUAGUGCUUUUGGUGUGGUUUCUUGGAUUAUCGUAACCAUUAACUGUGGGCAUGUCUGGGCUUUUGGAAGUCUACAACAAUUUUCGAAGAUAUUAAUCGCAACAGGGUUUAGGGCUUUUCUAGAAUUGGAGGUUGUAUUCAUCUGUUUGCUGUGUAUAUCUUGCGCACAGAUGGCGGUUUUUUUUUUUUUCUUUCUUGAAAUGUUUGAGCUCAAAUUUUGCUGGGUGAUUUCCAUCCGAUUUCUCAUUAUUGGGACUCACAAAUAUUACCAGCAAAUUAUUUCAUGUCUUGGUUCUGAUGAAAAUGUUAUUGAGGGAGAUACUGUAUUUACCUAUAUGCAUACAAACGAAUUGCUGAUACCCUUUUUCCUCCCUUUUUUUUUGGGUACUUAGACGGGAUUUAUUGAUUUGAGCAAUAAAUGGGCACGAUCACUGUUCAGACAAGGUGGUUUAGGACUCUCUCUUUAUUAGAUCUUAGGUUUGUGUGCUUUUUGUUAAAUUUGGAGUAUUCAGCAAGAAUUAUGCCAGGUUUUGUUAAUCGCUGGCGAGAUAGUGUGCACCUACUUUCCAAUUUUGCAAAUGUGAUGUAAUUAUCCCUUUAUUCCAUUUCAAGUUCUUUUUGCACAUUUUACUUGAGAAAUGAGAUUUGAUGUGUUCACCUAUAGAAAUUGCUUAUGCUUGGUCUUCUCCCUUUAACUGUCAGCUUCUACUAAUCUUGAUCAGUUUAGAGAUUUGCUUGUAUGUUUGCUGGUGCUGGGUAUUUUGCAUUGACAUUCUACUGUGUAUCGUUUUACAGAGUUAGACUGGUAGACAUCACUCUCUUGACUUGUCUCUCCACUCUGAAACUAAUUAUGGGAUUUGACAAGCCAAAUGAUGAGCAAUAUCCACCCAUGCCAUUGCAGGGUGAUGGUGGAUGUAUGUUUGCCAGUAGGGAAGGUGGAACUGUUGACUGUGGUCAGAAUUUUCCAAGCUGUACCAGUUCUGCUGACUUUUCAUUCCCAUAUGUAUCUCUGGCUAAUUCUGCUUGGAAUGACAUGCAUGCAACCCAUCAUUCUUACCCACAUGACCUUAGAAAUGGUAGCCAUUUGAUGACUGGUCUAAUGGGGCUUGACAACUUGCAAAGUCAGGACAACCUUAAUUUGCAUAGUCUCAGAGGUAAUGUGUUUAUGUACCUUGGCAAUCUCAGAGCUUCUGAAAGUUUAUAUCCUGAAGGAAAAUUAGAAAAGAUGUUGGUUAAUUAACUAAAGUAAUAUUGUUAUUUCAGGUAGCUUGAGGAAUGUAGAUGUUCAGAAUACUCAGGCUAACAUAAAUUUUUUGCCAACUGGGAGUAAAGCUGCUGGAGAUUACCAAAUGAAUGUUCUGGGAGGAGAGGCAGAAGGUAGUACCGUAAACUGGUCACAGAUUAGUGAGAGUUCUUUAAAUUUAGGAUGUGGUGCAUCCUUGUCACACCAAAAUACAAGUUUCCUUGAAGCUGGAGUUAGAAAUGAUGUCAAAGUAAAUGCCUUCCAUCCAAGACAAGUGGACGGAAGUUUUUUAACCCUUGGAAUUGGAGGUAAUCCAGAGACAAGAGCUAAAUCUAAAUUUGAUUCCCGAGAGGUCGCCAAUAAACUGGUGGAAGCAGUUGGGCCCCAAAGCAGCAGUUCCCAAAUUCAACCUGCCACAAGUCUAUCAAGUUUUCAAACUUAUCCUGGCUGUUCUCCAAGUACUGUAUACAAACUAGGUGACUGGACAACCUCUAAAAAUGUUGAUGCUAUUGUUGGGAUGCGUUCAAGCCCAUUUAUCAGUCCUCAGAUGCCAGAAGCUUUUAAGCAAUAUGAUUUCUUUGAGAAUAAUGCUAAGAAUACAAGUUUUGUCGAUGAGUCUAUGGGAAGAAAUUCUGCACUAGAAUCUUAUAAAUUUUUUCAAGGUGAUCCUUCUCCAUCUUCAUUGCCGUUUAAUAGCACUUAUGCUUGCGUCCCCCAACCUGGAUAUACCAAACAGUCAGAGUUGGGAUCAGAAGCCUUCGAGUCUACCUGGGUGUCCACUCAACCAGCCAGAGACCUUCUGUGGAAUUCUCAUUCUAUAGAGCCAGGAAAUAUCUCAUCCUCCUUUGGUUCCCAUUGUAGCAGCCUGAGGGAUGUCUCUCUCCCACAGGAUUACUUAGGUGAGUUUUAGAAGUUGUUUCCUGUCUCUUGUCACUUACGAGUGUAGAUUACAAAUUUGGCUGGAAGGUUGUCAUUUUUAUGUUUAUCUCAUAAACAAAGUCAAAGUUGGGUUCAAUGAUUUUUAUUGUCAUCAAGCUGUCUAAGUUUCUUUAUGUCUUGAAUGACCAAAUUACGGUUGCACAAAGGUCCAUAUUUUUUAAUUUACUUCUUUAGAAAAAAGGAGGAAUUGUUUCCCCUUUUUUAUGACAAAACUAGUAUAUGGAUAAAGUCACAAUCCAUGGCAGGCAAUUUCCUUGGACUGAGAUGGAAGCUUUUCAUUCAAGUGCCCAAAGUGAUACAUGCCUACAUUCACUGUUGUUGUGAAUUCUCUAGCAGCAUGACAACUUUUCUUAUUGCAUUGAGUGUAAGCUUAUCUGUAAUUUGGGUUGUAGACUGUGUAGAAAUUUGCCAAUUAAUAAAGAUUUAUAAGGUAAUGAGAGUUGGAAUUGAUUUUGAUUUUUGCUGUUCCACACCUGAGACAGAGAAGCAAAAAAUGUUAGCUUGUGUUAGUAUAGCCAUUAUCACUUAGAACAAUCUGUGAACCUCAACUUCAGGAAUUUCUGUGCUUCCAUCAGAGGGUUGUGCAGCUCAAGCUGUUGGAAGUGGUGAUCAGUGUGCCAGUGGUCAGCCAGAUGGUGAGUGCAUCUCAUUUAUGCGUAUUUGCAUCACAUACAAAUGUACAAACUCCUUACAUGCCAACUACUUUGCAUUUUAUAUGCAAUUCUUUGUUUAAGAAGCUUUUGAAACUCCUUUGGCAUUACCAUUUUUCUGCCAAUUAGGAGAAAAAGGAAAAGCUUUUGUCAGAUAUCAAGAACGUGUUCACAUAAACACAAUGGCCUGAUCUACUUUUCUGUUAGUUCUUUAACAUUAUUUUGUAGCCUAGUUCAAUUUGGAUGGAAAUGAGAUUAUCUCAAGUAGUUUCUUUCCUUUAAAUAAAAUUUCUUCAAGUGAUUAUGGCCGUGGUAUCUCACACAGGAAGUGUUCAUUUAUUAUUUUACUCGGCCGUACCUGAUCUUUUGUAUGUCCAAUUAAAGUGAUUGUGAUCAUGACUUCUACAAUGUACUGAACUUGUUAAGUUUGGGGCUUGGGAACUAGAGGAAAAUUUGUGGAGUUUGCGAUAGUGUAUGGUCUGAUAGUGCUUAAACUAAAUGUUUUUCCCCUCGUAUAGAAUCAAAUAACAGCAAAAUGGACCAAUAUUUUUCAUCUGCUAUCCUUGAAUUAACUAGCACAAUGAAGUGAGCAAAUUUCAUGGUAAGCAUUUACUUGCUACUAUUCUUCUGCAGGCCAUGUAUCUUCUCCUUACAAGGUUAAUUCUGCACCGCAUUUUCGAAGCACCAAUUAUCCCAAGAAUACCAGUCUUCUGAUUGCAGAGGGUAGUGCUAACAAGCCUGCUAUACGUGCUCCAUUUCCUCGAAGGCUAGGGGUACAAAUUGAUGAUCCUGCUGCUACUCAAUCCGCUACUGGAAGUGUAUUAUCCGAGAAUAUGGGAGCCCAGACUAGGAGUAAGUAAUUCUCAAUUCAAAAGCAGCUCAAUCCUUUUCAUGAUGCAGUUGAAUAUCAUAUCCUGUGGGCUGUUUGAUUUAGUAUAUUGGGCUGCAUUUUUUCUGUUUUGUCCUUCUUGAGACCUUAACAAGAAUAGUGCUUUAAGGAUGACUACAGCAUUUUUGACACCCCAAUGCUCGAAAAAAGUUCACCACCCACCAGAACCCCCCAAAAAGGGGGAAAAAAGAUGAGAGAGAGGGAGAGGGAGAGGUUUUUUUCUUUUUUUUUGGGGGGGGGGGGGGGUUGUGUGUGUGUGGAGGAGAAGAAAGCACCAGUUGUGAAUUCCAUAGGCUGGUUUCUAGUAGUCAAGUAUGCAAAAUGCUCUAGUUUAGCCUUUGGUUGACUGCAUAUUAGUGAUCUAUGUUGGCUCCACUUUUUUGCUUUUCAUUAUUUGUGUUUUGUGUGUGACAAGAAGCUUUUCCUAGUGUGACUUAUCAGGGAAGCAGGUUAGACUGGCCCCAUACUAAGAUAGUUCCUUCAGUUCAACUGAUGUUACUUGAAAAUUGUGUCGUGUUGAGCUAAUUUUGGUAAUAUGACUCAAUGUCAAGGUUCAAGGUGAUAAGAUUUUUAUCACAUGAUGGAAAGACGAAACAGAAAGAGAGAAAAAUUUGAAAAUAAAGACCGUCUAAAAUCUGGUUCACAUACCAUGUGCAUCAUCUUUUGACCUUGUGAUUAUGUUGUUAAUUGUCCUUGGUGCUUGGUAUAAAUGUUCAGGUAAUGAGCAUCAGUCUCGAAUUUCUGGACCUGUUCAGCUUGCUAAAAAUUUUCUCGGGCCCAUUUCUGGUAUUAAUCUAUCAUACUUGAUAUAUUGCAAUUUAGUCUAUACAUAAGCAUAAUAUUCUGAUGUUCAGAUAAUCCAUAAGAGUGACGGUCUGAUGUUCCCAGGUCAUCGUCAAGACCGUUUGGCAGCUAAAUUUAAUGUUCAAAGUCCCUCCCUCUCAACUGGUAUUUAUGAUUAGAUUUUUAUCAGGAGAGAGAAAUCUGAGUACCCUUAUCGGCAUGUUUCCUGUAUGAAAAUUUUUGUGUUUUCCUUUGUCUGAACUAGGUCAACCUCAACGUGCUGUCCCUGUUCGGUUUCCCAAAGAUCUUAUGAGAGUUGAUCAUACAACUGGUAUUUGUUCCUUUAGAAGUGCUUAUAGUGUUUUAUGCAAUCAGACUGAGUUUCAUGGCCAGCUUAUUGUGAUUAAUGAUUAUGAUUGUAACUUUUCCACUUACAGGUCAGGUAGUUCCUCAAAAAAUUGGUAGGACAUCUCAUGUUCAUGGUGUUAUUGGCCAGCCAUCUCUUAAAAGGAGAGCAAAUGAAACCCCAUCAGUGCCUUCCUGGGGUCAGCGUAGGAGGUUUUUCACUCCCAGUUACCAUUCUGCAAUGAGCACUCCUGCUAUUCCCCCUCUUCCUUCCACUUCGGCUCACAUAAAGUGGACAGGUAUUCCCUGGCACCCUUUCACUUGCACCAUUUUCCUAUAGUUUCGGAUAUACUGCACAUCGUGGCGAACUGCAAUUACUAUUUAUCCAUGUCUGAGCAUAUAGAUCUCCAUUAUUGACAUUUAAGAGACCUGCAAGGAGCAGUAUUCUUCAGAAACUGCAUGGAAAGAAGUAAUUUUUUCGUUUUAAACAUGUUUAUCGCAUCACUGAACGUUGAUAUACCUUUCACAUUUAGCGCAAAAUUAUUUCAAGGACCGGCUGACUUUGAGGAUAACAAUUUUGCCUAGGCUUGUCCUGGGUUCGGACCAUAUUUGUUCAAGUUGAUCUAAUGCAAAGUAACCACAGCGAGAAAAAAUUGAUUAAUUUAACCAAAUGCACCUUCUAUGCUGCUACAAUCUUGAUAAAGAUUACAAGAAGUGACUGUUAGACGUGCUUGCAGAUUCUGAAAGUCCUCCUCGGCCAACUGGACAUAGAUGCAUGUUAUGCAAGAGGGAUCUCUCUUUCAGACCAGAAGGCCCCAUUUACCAGCCUAUCAAUCCCCCGGCUAUCGCAGUUCUUCCCUGCGGCCAUACGUUUCAUGACCAAUGCUUGCAGAAUAUCACCCCAGAAGAUCAAUCGAAAGAUCCUCCGUGUAUACCCUGUGCCAUUGGUGAAAAACAAGCUUGAAAUUAUUCUCUCAUAUUCUGUGUUGGGCAAACUCUAAAGAUGGGAAAGCUGUAUCUACAUUUAACUGUAUCUACAUUCAAUUAGGAUUUAGUAAGUGAAGAUAACUUAAGAGGGAAGUAAAAUUUUUGUAUAGUUGUUGGAAAUUAGGUGUAGAGUUCUUGCAACUGUACAUAGUGAAUGUGGGAUGGCAGAUGCGGUUGGACAGGUAUUAAAAGCAACCAUUCAGUUACCAAUUUGCCUCGAGUGUACAUGAAGCCUCCCUUUGUUUUGAGAAUGAAUAGAACGAAUUUCAUUUUGUGCUAAUGAGGAUGGUACUAUCUGUCCUUCUUGGCGUUUGAACGCGUCUAAAGUUCUUCUAAGCUUUUCCUUGGAAUAUGCUCUGGAUUGUUAUUGUACGCGUAAGCCUUACGUAUCCAAAAUUGCUCUGCGCUGAUUCCUCCCGCAAUUGUACGGUAUUUCUCCAUAGUUAUAUACUAUAAGGUAAAUUUUGAUGAGUGCUGAUUCAACUCUUUUAACUGUAAAUUACCUAGAAAAUUCUUGUUGGUAAUUAAAUUGGGAUUUUGUGUUUUGAAGUCUAUUUAAUUGAUAUGUUUCCUUUCAAGAUAGUUAUAUGUUUCGUUUUUUAAGAAAAAACCCCAUAUCAUACGAUCCAGCAAAGUGCUUCCUAAUUUCCCUCGCUUUUCGCUAAGGUAAAUUUGUCAUUUACAAAAUUGACAAUCUAUAUCUAUAUCUAUAUGUAUUGAGGAAGGGGUUUUUAUCAGAGACCCUCUCAAUGGCUUUUAAACUUCUCAUUCUUUUUUCUAGAUUUUUGUAUUUAUUUUAAUACAUAAAAAGUAGUGGAUUAUAAUCAACCCUAUCACCAAUCAAAUUUAAAAUUUAAAACAUUCCCACUAUCUACUUCAUAAACCGUUUAUACUUUGUUAUUUAUACUUUAAAUCCUUUUUACUCCUUAAUUAAAAACAAAUGCUCAUUCGCAUGCUAUUUUAAUACAAUGUUACAUUUUUAUAAUUAAGAAAUAUUUAUCCCCAAACUAACCCUAUAACCACCCCUACAAAUGAGCUUUGCAAAUUACAAUUACGUUUCAAAAAAAUCACAAAUGUGCAACUACAUGUAAAGUUGAGAGAGUAAAGUACAACUAAAUGUAAAGUUAAUAGGUUUACUAUAUUUAACCCUAAAAAAAAUCCCAAGAACGGAACAAGUAGUGGGUCUACUUGAUUGUAAGAUUGUUUUAAUUCUAUAGAUUUUUGUAUUUAUUUUAAUACAUAAAAAGUAGUGGAUUAUAAUCAACCCUAUCACCAAUCAAAUUUAAAAUUUAAAACAUUAACACUAUCUACUUCAUAAACCAUUUAUACUUUAUUAUUUAUACUUUAAAUCCUUUUUACUCCUUAAUUAAAGACAAAUGCUCAUUCGUAUGCUAUUUUAAUACAAUGUUACAUUUUUAUAAUUAAGAAAUAUUUAUCCUCAAACUAACCCUAUAACCACCCCUACAAAUGAGUUUUGUAAAUUGCAAUUACGUUUCAAAAAAAUCACAAAUGUGCAACUACAUGUAAAGUUGAGGGGGUACAGUGCAACUAUAUGUAAAAUUAAGGUGUUUACUAUAUUUAACCCUAAAAAAAAUCUCAAGAACGAAACAAGUAGUGGGUUAUAGAUUUUUGUAUUUAUUUUAAUACAUAAAAAGUAGUGGAUUAUAACCAACCCUAUAUCACCAAUCAAAUUUAAAAUUUAAAACAUUCUCACUAUCUACUUCAUAAACCGUUUAUACUUUGUUAUUUAUAUUUUAAAUCUUUUUUACUCUUUAAUUAAAGACAAAUGCUCAUUCGUAUGCUAUUUUAAUACAAUGUUACAUUUUUAUAAUUAAAAAAUAUUUAUCCCCAAACUAACCCUAUAACCACCUCUUCAAAUGACCUUUAUAAAUUACAAUCACGUUUCAAAAAAAUCACAAAUGUGCAACUAAAGGUAAAGUGCAACUAAAUGUAAAGUUGAGGGGGUAAAGUGCAGCUAAAUGUAAAGUUAAGAGAUUUACUAUAUUUAACCCUAGAAAAAAUCUCAAGAACGGAACAAGGAGUGGGUUAUAGAUUUUUGUAUUUAUUUUAAUACAUAAAGAGUAGUGGGUUAUAACCAACCCUAUCACCAAUCAAUUUAAAAUUUAAGACAUUCCCACUAUCUAUUUCAUAAAUUGUUUAUACUUUAUUAUUUAUACUUUAAAUCCUUUUUACUCCUUAAUUAAAGACAGAUGCUCAUUCGUAUGCUAUUUUAAUACAAUGUUACAUUUUUAUAAUUAAGAAAUAUUUAUCCCCAAACUAACCCUAUAACCACCCCUACAAAUGAGAUUUGCAAAUUACAAUCACGUUUCAAAAAAAUCACAAAUGUGUAACUACAUGUAAAGUUGAGGGGGUACAGUGCAACUAUAUGUAAAGUUAAGGGGCUUACUAUAUUUAACCCUAAAAAAAAUUCCAAGAACGGAACAAGUAGUGAGUUAUAGAUUUUUGUCUAGAUUUUUGUAUUUAUCAAAUCGAAUGCACAAUAUUUGUAAGUAUUUCAUUUUAACAACAUUCAAUUACAUUCAUUUUUGUUCAUAUAUCAUUCAUUUUCUAAAAUAAAUUUCUAUUAUUUUUUUUAUGAUCUAUUUUCCGAAAAAAGACAGUUCUUGAAUGAUAUGCACAUCUAUCAUAUUUCAAACUAUUGUUAGACAGAUAUUACAUUUUAAUUGUGUUAGUACAAUUUUUAAACUUUUUUUAUUCACCAUUUUAUUUUUACUUUUUCAAUAAUGCCAGUACCGUGCAUAGCACGGGUAUUCACACUAGUACACAAUUAUUUAGCCUUAGCGGCGGGAAUAUGGCACAUCCGGAAGUAGUUAUUUACAGCCAUAUGAGCCUUGGGCCUUGGCUGGCUAUCCAGCGGCUAGCAAUUAGUUAGUAGUAAGAGCACGUGACUGCGCAUGAUUUCUCGCAUAAUAAAACAAUUAUAAUUUAUUAACUGCACGUGACGUAGUCUUCCAGCCGUUUCAGGACCAAGAAAAUUCUCCCAAACAAACAUCGGCAUAUCCUUUAGUAUUUAGGAAUUUGAUCCCUUCACUUUCUUUUUCUGGGCAUCUCCGAAAAUCCUUACAAACAUUAGGUGCAUUUCAGUAAUUCAGAAACUGGACCCAUAAAUUAUGAAAUUAGUCUAUAUACGCAUACUAGACGAGUUCAAUAACACAUUUGCAGAUAGUACAAAUAUAUUUCAAAAUUACGAAAUUAAGAGUAUAAAUAAAGUUAAUACAUUUUUCACAAAUCGUGCUAUACUAGUACCAAUUUUCACUCUUAUAGUUAUAUAAAAGAAAUUAAAUUAGUUAAAAUUUUAUCACCUCAUUAGCUUUAUAUGAAUAAAUCUAUGGAUGUUAUCACCUUAAAUUUUUUUUUUACCCAAAAAAAUCUAAGGAUUUUAUAAUAUAGGUUAUUAUUGUUUUGUAUGUAACUCAAAACAUAUUUUAUUAUUCUUACAAUAAUUUUCAAAACUAUUUUCACAAUUUCAAGUAUAAUUCGUGAAUUAUAAUAUGCCCAAAUUUUGUUACAUACACAAUUAGCUGAAAAAUAUGAAUACUUCGAAAAAUAUUCUUGAAAGGAAAAAUAAUUCAACACAUCCCCUACAUUUCGUCAAAUAAAUAUUUUAAUCCCUCAUUUUUAAAAUAUUAAUUUUACAUCCCUUAUAAUUUCAAAUUAAUAAAACUUGAUUCCUACCAAGGUUUUUGAUCAUUUUUUAGUCUAAAAUCAGACCAUGUAACCCAUAAACAGUUAUUUUUUAUAUACAAAAAGGCCAGAUAUCACAUUUUUAGUUACAAAGAUGAAUAUAGAUUAUGUCAAAUUCCACCUUUUCAGGAGAAAAUAAAUAUGGUUCAUGCCAGAUCCUACUUUUGUAGAAGCAAAAGUGAAUAUAGAUCAAGAAAUUUGUUUAACUACAAAUGAGAUCUAAUAUUUUUUUCUCUUACAAAAAUGAUUAUGUACGGGUCACGUGAUUGAUUCAAGAUAAAAAAAGAAAGGUAAAAAACCUAGAUUGCAAUCAAAUUUUAUCGACUUGAUUUUGUAAAGGACGUAAAUUUAUUAUUUUAAAAGUGAAGGAUAAAAAAUUCAUUUAACAAAAUGUGAUGAAUAUUUUAAAUAAUUUUUCCUUCUUGAAAUGUACGAAAUAUAAAAUAAUUAUCCAUACAAACCACCGGACCAGUAUGAUACGAGUAUAAUACAAAUUUGUACAAACUCGGCCGAACAGAUAUACCACUUACCACACAUGAAAAACGCGACAACAACCUUUGCCUCAGUAAUUUCAAAUUUUCAAUCAAUCAAAUUUUAUUUAAAUUUUAAAUUAAAAAAAAUAAAAUACCAACUGAAAAUGGGGUCCACCAAGAAAGACAAAUCUAGGCCGUCCAAAGCCAUUGACGAUUCCGUCAGCCACCUCUCUCUUUGGGUGAUGAAUUUGAUGCCAGGAAAAACUCGAGUGCUAAAUGCUAAUCCUCUCUCUCUCAUUUCCCACAUCCGUCCGUGUUGAUGAUUCAAUAUUCUCUCACUUCAUCGGCUUGUGUAAUAACAACCUUCUUCUUCUCGCCUACUCCAACUCCUAACAAAGCCUACUAUUUCCUCAACAGCAACAGACUUAAAUUAGUACUGCUACUACUAUAAUUAGCAGCUAAGGUCUGAAGAGGCAGAUAUAAUUUCUACUACUAAAAAAAAAAAAGAUCUUUUCUUUCCUUGUUAUCUUAUGAGUCCAUAAAAUAAAAGGAAGAAAUAGCUUUUGAUGGUCAGCUCUUGACUUGUAAGUCGGAUAAGGUACGAAUGCUAUGGAGGAACCAAAUAAGAAGGUGGAGCAGACUUUGAUCAAUGGAUUCUCUCCUGUUUCUUCUGCUCCUGUUUUCUGGAAAUCCAGGAGAAGGGCAGGUUAGCUACCCUUUUGAUUCUUGUGCUUAAUUAUCCUUUUCUCUUCGCAUCCUUGGGGUCAAAUUUUGUUUUGAAUUUGUGGGGUUUAAGGAUCAACCCAUGGUUUGAUGAGGGGUUGCAGGAUGCAAAUGACUGUAGAACCGUAGAUCUCUUCAUGCAAAGGCUAAGACUUGGGAAGAAUUGUUUGCUUUCUUGACAUUUGAAGCUUGGAGUAUUUUCUGCUUUGGUUCUUCUUUUUUGUCGGCUAAAUCAUUUGCAAAACUAAUCCCAACAAUUAACUCUGACAAUUUGACACAACUGCUCCGAGAUUAAGCAGCUUAGCCCUUAACCUUAUCUCUGCGACUCCUCCUCCUCCCUUUUUCUUUUUCUUUUUUUUUUUUCCCCUUUUCUGGGGUUGGGAACUUGCUGCUGGGAUGUGUACUCUGGACAUGGGCGAUGAUUGUGAAGUGGGAUCUUCCCAUGUGGAUGGUGUGAUGCGGUUGUGGGUUAGGGAAGGGAAGCGUACAGCUGCACCACCAAGACUUGGUCUGACUUUGCUCCCACGUCACUUCAUUACUCAUGAUUUAGGUUGGAGUUAGCUAGCAAAUCAACCUCAAAGAAAAUACUACUAUUAGAAAAGAAAAUAAAUAAAUAAAAAGGAUGGGAGAAAAUGGAUUGUCCAUCUACAAUCCUCCCCGUCUGAUUGGAAUUUUAUGUUUACCCCUAAAGAUUUUUUUUUGAAAAAGAAAUUUCUUUUUAGACUAUGAAAUGACCACCUCAUGAUUAGUUGGCUUUAAAGUUUUGUUGAUGAUUUAUUUGAGAUAAUUAUUGUAGCAUUUUUUAUGAUGUGAUGCAUGUGAGAUAAAAAGGUAAUUGAAAAAAUAAAAAGGUGAUUGGAAUCUGUGAAGCAAAUUAUUUUAUCUGAAAUCAUGCCAAUCCAAACAAACCCACAUUUGAUUUUUCCGUCACCAAAAUAAGUAUUUUUCUCCUCCACAGUUUUUCCGCUAUUAAGAUUCUACAUUUGAUUUUAAGAUCAUCUAUACCUAAUGUUAAGAAUCUUUUUCUUCUCUGUGACAUUUUUCUAUGGUGAAACUUCUGAUCAUAGUUAAUGAUUGUAAACUUGUGAUCUUAGUUAAGUCAUAAUCGCAAUUUCAAUCACUUAAUGUAAUAGCUGUAAUAUUUUCAAACCAGUAUGAGAAGAUCAAAAUUUUGCCAAUACUAAAUUGCAGUUUGCUCAGUAAAGUAGAGUCUAUUAACUGGAGACCUGCAAGCAUUUGACUCUGGAAUACCUCUUCAGACUAAAAACUAAACCAAACUAAUACUAGUUAUUUUUAAAGACUCUGAGACUAGGUUCACGUUUACAAGUUUAACUUCUUCAUAGCCUUAUGGACAUAGAUUUCAAAUAAAAGGGUGCCUCCUUCUAGUCAGAGUUUUGCCUUCUUACUUACUGCAACCCUACUUCGAAAGCACUAAUUCUUGUUACUUACUAUAGCAUCUAUUUAGCAGAUUAUAGAAGGCAGCAAUCUUGAGCUCUUUGCGAUUCCCAUCUUGCUUACUGCCUUAGUAAAAAUACUUUGAAACUAAGCAUAUUUUUUCCUGGAGAGAUUCCUGCUGAACGUUUGCAUCUUCCUGCAGUCAGCGUGAAGUAUUUAGACAAACCAACAGAAAAUGAUGCUGAUAAACCUCCAGAAACACAGGAAAAUCCCACCGCUGAGGCAAUGCAGGAGGAUUCAACCCCUGUUGUUCUAUCAGAGAAGAGGAAGGCACUCUUUGAACCACUGGAACCCAUGACAAAUAUAAAUGGUCGUAGACCAUCCGCUGAAAUGUUACUUCCCCCACCGGACUUUGAUGCAGCAACUUAUCCCAAAGGCUGGCUGAUUGGCAAGAAGAGGAAGCUUGUGAAUGUUGAUGUUGUGGAAAGCAUGCGCAGGAUUGCCGUCCAGGAAAUGAAUAGAAAGGUGGUGUUCUCGGUAGCCUCUUUGAGUACUAGAGCAAAUAUUGCUCUUUUUACUCGAAAACGCCGGUUGUCCUCUCACAGGAUGUAACAACUAAUUACAUUAUUUCGUUUGCAGGAUAGGGAGAUUGAUGGUCUGAAUGAGCAGUUAGAAGGGGAUGCUCGGUGCCUUGAGCAUUUGCAACUCCAGCUGCUGGAGGAACGGAGCAAGCGAUCUGAAGUUGAGCGUCAAAAUGCAAUGCUGCAAAACCAAAUUACAAUGCUCAUGGACAUGUUACAGGAGAAUGACGACGUAGAUGAUGAUGAAGGUGGAGAGGAGCCUUGAUUUUUUCGUUCUUUCUUCAAUAGUAGGAACUAGUCAUAUGGACUUUUCUUCUGGGGAGUAUUAUUUUAUUUUGCAUAUACGGUUGGCACAAUAUUUAUUUUGUAAUUUUGAGACUUAUGCGGUCAUGUGUGUGUAUAAUUAGUUCACAUAUAUUUCACAACUAGCAUAAAUUGUAUACUGUAAAUCUUCUUAAUGUUCUUAAUGAAAGUGUGAGGAACGCUUUGCAAGUCAACCAGAACAACUCUGCGCUUUGAGCUCUAUUUUGCAUGCAGCCGACUUUUCGCUUGACUAAUCGAUCAAAGACUCUGCCUUUAGUUUCUUAUACUUGUCAUUUUACAUUCACACGCUCUACCUUUGGUUUCUUAUGCUCAUCAUUUUUGUCGUUCAUAAAUCAAGAGGUCUUUGAUUGUGAAUCUAAGCAGCAGAUAAGCACGGAAACCCACUUCAGGGUAAGUCCUUACCUGUGGAAAAUUAUGCAAUCACCACCAUGCACUGAGCACAUGGAUGUAUGUAGUUUCUGAUUGCCAGAAAGGAAGCCUCGGAUUCAUAUGUAUACUAGAGAUGUUCUUCGAUAAGAUAAAACUGCACAUUUUCCACUUUCCACUUAGAUAAUGUGAUAUCAGCUACACCCAAUACCAAAUCUACAACCCAACAAGCAUAACACAAAAAGAAAAACAUUUAGGAUUCUUCAUCAAUGAGAAUCUCCGAAUCCACCACGGUAUGCAAAUUGCAGCAAAAGACCCUAACGUAUGUAUAUGUACAGGUUUCUGGGCAAGGAACUUCACUGGUAGACCCGAAGGACACAUGCUACCGAGCUUGAUUGUC
RNAcentral lists this long non-coding RNA (27574 nucleotides) under Coffea arabica (coffee). Its description in RNAcentral is "long non-coding RNA (CARA_LNC003066)". The record is from RNAcentral. Lineage: Eukaryota; Viridiplantae; Streptophyta; Magnoliopsida; Gentianales; Rubiaceae.